This is a long non-coding RNA of Brassica napus (rape), 2496 nucleotides long. RefSeq lists it as uncharacterized. The record is from RefSeq and is a predicted model, not a curated record. The transcript is spliced from 2 exons. Lineage: Eukaryota; Viridiplantae; Streptophyta; Magnoliopsida; Brassicales; Brassicaceae.
UCAAAGAUAUUAUAUGUAAUGUUAUUAUUGAACUUUUUCUGUUUUCAGUUUCUCAUUCUCUUUAAUAUUGUGUUAAAAUAAUUUGUAAAUAUAUAUUUCCUUUUUUGUUAUAAUACUUCCAAAUCAGAUAUAACAAGACAAAUAUCCCCAAAAUAAAAUUUAAAAUUGGUGUUUCCUUUGUUGUCCAAACCAAAUAAAGUAGAUUAAUUUAUAUUAAAAUAUAUAAAUGAUUUAUUAUUAUAUGACUUUUUGAAAUCACGUAUAUAUAUAUAUAUAUUGUCGCUUUUUAUCUUUAUAAAUAACAAUAUGUUUCUUUUUUUUAGAUAAAAAUAAUAUAAUUAUAAUAAAAGGGAGACACAAACUUAAAAUUUAAUAUUAAAAACUGUGAUCGAUGGAUUCAUAAUUGUCACAAUCGUCAAUACUUACUUCUUUUUUCUUACAAGUGAAAACUCAAAUCAUCUUUAUAUAUAAAGUACAGUUUCUCUCUCUCCUGGGCGUGCCACAUCAGCGUCCACCUAGGAAAGUCGAGCUCUGGCGUUGCGACAUGUGUCAUGUCUAUACAAAACGAAUCGUUGCAUUAAAACUACAGUCUGAUGAGCUUAUAUCGUUUUGUGUAUAUAUAAUGUUUUGGGCUAAUAGUUGGGCUUAAACUUAAUGUUUUGGGCUGACAAAAAAAUAGAAGCUUAUCCCAAUUGUCGUAUUCUCUUUCUUCAACAACAGCGACCUUUGAUUUCUAGGGUUCAUCUCAUCAUGUUCUUCUUGAUGUAAUUAGGUCAACCGACUAUGCAGUUUGUUGGGCUUUGAGCAAACAAAACUCAUCGUCAUUGGCUAUGCGAUUAGACUUCUUCUACUCGGGAAUCUUUUUCAGAACCGUUACAGAAAUCAACCUGAUUCAUGCAUCUUCAUUAACAUUCACAUUAACACCAAUCCUCCACUUCUCACAUGAUCUCCAUUCAAUGAAUCUCACAUUCAUUCCUUUGUGUGAAUCCUCCCCUAUAAAUAUCAAAAUUUUCUUCUCAAAAAAGCAUUCGUUCAUUCUUCUCAGUAAAAACACAAGAAGAAGAAGUUCGAAGCAGCAAAAAAGAGUAAUAUGUGAGCUAAAUUCGUCAAUCGCCGAUGGGUCGGACAUGCCGCUUGGUCACACGGCGGAGGCUCAGGUACAAACAGUUAUCGUUUAAAGAUAUGCACAGCUAAACCUGGAAAUUCCGGCAUAUUUAAAGGGAACGCCUCACCGUCAUCGCUCGACGAUGACUGGAGCACAUUCAUCAACCAAAAGAUAGUAAUCGCUGGUGACUUAAUCGUUUUCCUCCACUUCGAUUUCGGCAACCACUGCGUCAGGACUAGCGCGGUUGUCUCAGAUCCAAUAACAAAAACUUAUUCUGGCUUCAUCCGCGACCAUGAGACAAUACCAUCGAAGCUAAUGAAGAUGAAACGCAAUGCAACAGAAGUGAGCGCACCAGGGAGAAGAGUUAAGGUGGAGGCAGUGGCUGAAGCAGUGGGGCUUGCAGCAUGAAGACAAGUGAUCUUCAAGGAGAAAGAGAGGUAAAGCUUCUAACUUUCACAUCUAUGCUCUUUGGUUUCUGCAGAAUCGAUCAUUUAUUUAUGAUUCUCAGAAAGUUGAUUGAGAAUAAUGAUGAUUAUGAUGAUGAUGACCUUCUCUUUUCUUGAUUCAAGUGAGUUCUUUUUAUAUUUCUUGAUUAUAAAAGUCUUAAGACUUUGACCCAAUCUUUAUGGGUAAGCUUCCUUCAAGUGUAUGAAAUAGGUGCAUGAAGCUUUUCUCCAUGACGAGAAUGCUUGGAACUGUUAGUGAUAUAGGAGUAAACCGUGCGCAAACUCUAGCAUUCGGAACGUUACAAGGAGAAUGUAAAGUUGAAUGAUAUCUUACAAAAAAAAUUCAUGGUGAGAACUAUGAAAAGACUCAAACCAGCUGAUGAAUUAAGAGGCUUCUUCCGUUUUUGAACUGUUAACUUUCUUUAUGCCAUAUGUUUCUUUCCACAUGAUACUUAGUGAUUCUACGUACCAGCAGGAACAAAAAGAAAGUGAUACCGUCACAUUAACUUUAACCUUUGAAAAUCACUGAAAGUUUUUGAUAAUUCCCUUACAUGAUAAUGUUUUCUAUAGAUACAGGAAGACAAGCGCUAGGAUCACAAACAAUAAACUCAAAACCUAAUCACUAAUCCAAGCCACAUUUUCCUACCUGAACAAAUAGGCAGACAAGUCAAAACCAACUUUUGGUUCUUGGGUCAAGACGGCUGGGAGGCAUAGCAGAGAGGAACAAGAUAAACAAUUCUUCACCUAGAAAAUAGACAACAUUCAAAGUAAUAUAAAAAUCUUGCUUUGUGGUGUGCCUCUUUUUGGUCUGUUAAUAUAAAAGCUAAGAUAUUUUUUGAUUGUUUUGUUCCAUUUAAUUAUAUAUAUAUAUAUAUAUAUAUAUAUAUAUAUUACGAUGUUGUCGUUUUUACUAUGUUAAAACUGAGAAAGGAAUAUUUGAUGAGA